UCCUGGUUAACCCAGGCAGUCUCUCUAGAGUGCCCAACUUAAUGCUGGCAACUAAAGAUAGGGGUUGCGCUCGUUGCGAGACUUAACCCAACAUUUCACAACACGAGCUGACGACAGCCAUGCAGCGCCUGUCACUGAAUUCCCCGAAGGGCACAACCGCUUUUGGGCGGUCUUCUCAGGAUUUCAAGCCUAGGUAAGGUUUUGCGCGUUGCUUCGAAUUAAACCACAUAAUCCACCGCUUGUGCGGGCCCCCGUCAAUUCCUUUGAGUUUUAGUCUUGCGACCGUACUCCCCAGGCGGACAACUUAACGCGUUGGCUGUACCACUGCAGGGGUCAAUACCCGCAAUGGUUAGUUGUCAUCGUUUACGGCGUGGACUAC
This 379-nucleotide unclassified non-coding RNA is filed under the name uncultured Bacteriovoracaceae bacterium. Its description in RNAcentral is "contains 16S-23S intergenic spacer region". Lineage: Bacteria; Pseudomonadati; Bdellovibrionota; Bacteriovoracia; Bacteriovoracales; Bacteriovoracaceae. The record is from RNAcentral.